GAAUGGAAACCGUGGCGAUAGUGUAAGAGCAAAAGAGAGCUUAACUGCAAGAGGUACAUCUCGAGCAGAUGCGAAAGCAGAGUCUAGUGAACCGAUGGUACGCCUUAGAUGCGGCCAGAGAUUAACGGAUAUAAGUUACCCUGGGGAUAACAGGCUAGUUCCGCCCAAGCGUCCAUAGCGACGGCGGAGUUCGGCACCUCGAUGUCGGCUCACCUUAGCGCGGGGGUGGAGAAGCUCCCAAGCGUUUGGCUGUUCGCCAAUUAAAAAGGUACGCGAGCUGGGUUCAAACCGUUCAGCGGUUGAAUCAGCAGAUUCACCUACUGGGUGAUUGCAAAAUUCGACAAUUGAACGGUUUGAACCCACGAGGAUGUUACGUGCGUGGAGACGCAUGGUGCGAUAGACAUACUUACGGCGGUCGUUUGCAGGAAUGCAGACGUUAGCAAAUCAACUAAUAUCGGUGAAACCCAAUCUCGUUGUGUACGAGAGGGCAAUACCGAGGGAAGAGUUGUUAGAAAAAAUGCGUACCCGUAUCGAUUACGAUACGGCUGCUCGUUCGGAGAAUAAGAAUAUGAGAUUACUCACAUUCUUAUUUCCUCACUUCACACCCGUAGAGACUGAAUGUUGAUCAUCGAGAACCGAUGAAGUUACAGUCCGAUCCUCCGAGUAAUUGGAGAAAAUCCACUACCGCUUUUCUUUUAAGCAGUAGUGGGCAACGUAGAUGCGUGAGACAGGUUGGUCUCCUAUCUACUACAGGCGUUGAUUCUUGCGGAGGGUUGUCCCUAGUACGAGAGGACCGGGAUGAACUGACCUCUGGUCUGCCAGCUGUCCUGCCAAGGGCACCGCUGGGUAGCUAUGUCGGGUGACGAUAACCGCUGAAAGCAUAUAAGCGGGAAACGUGCUCCAAGAUUAGGAAUCGUUAUGAGACUCCUAGGAGAUGACUAGGUUGAUAGGCUCUAGGUGGAAGCGCCGCAAGGUGUGGAGCCGAGGAGUACUAAUAUGUCCAGUCUCCCGUGCGG
RNAcentral lists this ribosomal RNA (1016 nucleotides) under bacterium. RNAcentral's name for it is "partial 23S ribosomal RNA". It matches the Rfam family "Bacterial large subunit ribosomal RNA", at positions 2329 to 2925 of the family's 2925-position model. The record is from RNAcentral.